UACGGAGGAUUCGAGCGUUAUCCGGAUUUAUUGGGUUUAAAGGGAGCGUAGGCGGGUUGUCAAGUCAGUUGUGAAAGUUUGCGGCUCAACCGUAAAAUUGCAGUCGAUACUGGCAUCCUUGAGUACAGUAGAGGUAGGCGGAAUUCGUGGUGUAGCGGUGAAAUGCUUAGAUAUCACGAAGAACUCCGAUUGCGAAGGCAGCCUGCUGGACUGUAACUGACGCUGAUGCUCGAAAGUGUGGGUAUCAAACAGG
Molecule: ribosomal RNA, 253 nt
Filed under: uncultured bacterium
Lineage: Bacteria
Description: partial 16S ribosomal RNA
Rfam family: Bacterial small subunit ribosomal RNA
Source: RNAcentral